GAUCCUGGCUUAGGAUGAACGCUAGCUACAGGCUUAACACAUGCAAGUCGAGGGGUAGCAGGGUAGCAAUACCGCUGACGACCGGCGCACGGGUGAGUAACACGUAUCCAACCUUCCCAUAACUCAGGGAUAGCCUUUCGAAAGAAAGAUUAAUACCUGAUAGUACUUUUUCAAGGCAUCUUGAGAAAGUUAAAGAUUUAUUGGUUAUGGAUGGGGAUGCGUUCCAUUAGAUAGUUGGUGAGGUAACGGCUCACCAAGUCUUCGAUGGAUAGGGGUUCUGAGAGGAAGGUCCCCCACAUUGGUACUGAGACACGGACCAAACUCCUACGGGAGGCAGCAGCGAGGAAUAUUGGUCAAUGGGCGAGAGCCUGAACCAGCCAAGUAGCGUGAAGGAUGAAGGUCCUAUGGAUUGUAAACUUCUUUUAUAGUAGAAUAAAGUGAUCCACGUGUGGAUUUUUGUAUGUAUACUAUGAAUAAGGAUCGGCUAACUCCGUGCCAGCAGCCGC
This 506-nucleotide ribosomal RNA is filed under the name uncultured bacterium. RNAcentral's name for it is "bacterial SSU rRNA". It matches the Rfam family "Bacterial small subunit ribosomal RNA", at positions 15 to 518 of the family's 1533-position model. The record is from RNAcentral.